UACGAAGGGGGCUAGCGUUGCUCGGAAUUACUGGGCGUAAAGCGCACGUAGGCGGCUUGUUAAGUCGGGGGUGAAAUCCUGGAGCUCAACUCCAGAACUGCCUUCGAUACUGGCGAGCUCGAGUUCGGGAGAGGUGAGUGGAACUGCGAGUGUAGAGGUGAAAUUCGUAGAUAUUCGCAAGAACACCAGUGGCGAAGGCGGCUCACUGGCCCGGUACUGACGCUGAGGUGCGAAAGCGUGGGGAGCAAACAGG
Molecule: ribosomal RNA, 253 nt
Filed under: uncultured bacterium
Lineage: Bacteria
Description: partial 16S ribosomal RNA
Rfam family: Bacterial small subunit ribosomal RNA
Source: RNAcentral